UGGGGCGUCGACAAGCGGUAAGUCACCAGCCUUUGGAGCUGGCAUCGGAGGUUCGAAUCCUCCCGCCCCAG
Molecule: transfer RNA, 71 nt
Filed under: bacterium
Lineage: Bacteria
Also listed under: 1 other name
Description: tRNA-Gln
Rfam family: tRNA
About the family: Transfer RNA (tRNA) molecules are approximately 80 nucleotides in length.
Source: RNAcentral